AACGAACGCUGGCGGCAGGCCUAACACAUGCAAGUCGAGCGAUGACUUCGGUCCUAGCGGCGGACGGGUGAGUAACGCGUGGGAACGUGCCCUUUGCUUCGGAAUAGCCCUGGGAAACUGGGAGUAAUACCGGAUGAGCCCUUUGGGGGAAAGAUUUAUCGGCGAAGGAUCGGCCCGCGUUGGAUUAGGUAGUUGGUGGGGUAAUGGCCUACCAAGCCGACGAUCCAUAGCUGGUUUGAGAGGAUGAUCAGCCACACUGGGACUGAGACACGGCCCAGACUCCUACGGGAGGAAGCAGUGGGGAAUCUUAGACAAUGGGGGAAACCCUGAUCUAGCCAUGCCGCGUGAGCGAUGAAGGCCUUAGGGUUGUAAAGCUCUUUCAGCUGGGAAGAUAAUGACGGUACCAGCAGAAGAAGCCCCGGCUAACUCCGUG
This 433-nucleotide ribosomal RNA is filed under the name uncultured bacterium. RNAcentral describes it as "partial 16S ribosomal RNA". It matches the Rfam family "Bacterial small subunit ribosomal RNA", at positions 29 to 507 of the family's 1533-position model. The record is from RNAcentral.